CAGCCACCACAGCUCCCUCAGCCAAUAUGUCCAUUGGCCUUUUUCCACACUCCAUAGUGGAGACUCUACUAUCCAUGGAUUGAUAAAUGGAGUCAACAAUGCUGUCAAAUAAAAAUGCCUCCAAUUUUACUCCUACAACUCAUCUAGAGGGAAGGGGAAAAGAUUCUCUAUCCAUGAAUUCAACCGCCCUUUGACACAACCAUAAGGCUGAUGUGGACCUCAAUGAAAAUGAGUCUGACAUCCCUGAGGUAGGAUGUUUAAUAAAAGAUAAAGGUUUCCCCUGAC
Long non-coding RNA from Anolis carolinensis (green anole), 285 nucleotides. RefSeq lists it as uncharacterized. The transcript has 3 exons. The record is from RefSeq and is a predicted model, not a curated record. NCBI's taxonomy places the organism in Eukaryota, Metazoa, Chordata, Lepidosauria, Squamata, Anolidae.